GAUGAACGCUGGCGGCGUGCCUAAUACAUGCAAGUCGAACGAACAGACGAGGAGCUUGCUUCUCUGACGUUAGCGGCGGACGUGUGAGUAACACGUGUAUAACCUACCUAUAAGACUGGGAUAACUUCGGGAAACCGGAGCUAAUACCGGAUAAUAUAUUGAACCGCAUGGUUCAAUAGUGAAAGACGGUUUUGCGGUCACUUAUAGAUGGAUCCGCGCCGCAUUAGCUAGUUGGUAAGGUAACGGCUUACCAAGGCAACGAUGCGUAGCCGACCUGAGAGGGUGAUCGGCCACACUGGAACUGAGACACGGUCCAGACUCCUACGGGAGGCAGCAGUAGGGAAUCUUCCGCAAUGGGCGAAAGCCUGACGGAGCAACGCCGCGUGAGUGAUGAAGGUCUUCGGAUCGUAAAACUCUGUUAUUAGGGAAGAACAGCUGUGUAAGUAACUAUGCACGUCUUGACGGUACCUAAUCAGAAAGCCCCGGCUAACUACGUG
RNAcentral lists this ribosomal RNA (497 nucleotides) under uncultured bacterium. RNAcentral describes it as "partial 16S ribosomal RNA". It matches the Rfam family "Bacterial small subunit ribosomal RNA", at positions 28 to 507 of the family's 1533-position model. The record is from RNAcentral.